RNAcentral lists this ribosomal RNA (22 nucleotides) under Calamus ursinus. RNAcentral's name for it is "partial 26S ribosomal RNA". Lineage: Eukaryota; Viridiplantae; Streptophyta; Magnoliopsida; Arecales; Arecaceae. The record is from RNAcentral.
GCAACCCCAGGUUAGGCGGGCC